RNAcentral lists this ribosomal RNA (253 nucleotides) under uncultured bacterium. RNAcentral's name for it is "partial 16S ribosomal RNA". It matches the Rfam family "Bacterial small subunit ribosomal RNA", at positions 524 to 776 of the family's 1533-position model. The record is from RNAcentral.
UACGGAGGGUGCGAGCGUUGUCCGGAUUGACUGGGCGUAAAGCGCACGCAGGCGGAUGCGCGCGUGGGGUGUGAAAUCUGGCCGCUUAACGGCCAGGCGCCAUCCCAUACGGCGCGUCUGGAGUGAUGCAGAGGUCGAUGGAAUUGCCGGUGUAGUGGUGAAAUGCGUAGAGAUCGGCAGGAACACCCAGGGGGAAACCAGUCGACUGGGCAUCUACUGACGCUGAGGUGCGAGAGCGUGGGGAGCGAACCGG